Nothobranchius furzeri (turquoise killifish) is the source of this 1329-nucleotide non-coding RNA. Lineage: Eukaryota; Metazoa; Chordata; Actinopteri; Cyprinodontiformes; Nothobranchiidae. The record is from RefSeq and is a predicted model, not a curated record.
UAAAAUUUAGCCAAUGGCUAAAGAGUAAAGUACUACGUAAACCAGUAGAGUACUACGUAGCAGCUCCGUGCCAAAGUUAUAAAAGCAACGAGCGUCUCGGCCACGCCCUGUGGCGAGUGGGAGUUGGAUUUGCAAGUGAGUGUAGGAGGUCAGCGGUAGUUCAGCAUUAGCAUAUAGCAUUAGCAUAUCCUAGUCUUAGCAUAUCUUUUAGUGUUAUAAAUACUUAUUUAGUGUUAGAUUUGGCUGUUUGAUAUUGUACUUUAGUUAGUGUUUGGCUGUUAGUGUAAUUGGGAAAGUAUUUCGGGUUUAGUGCUCCAUAUCGUCUUAGUAUUGGUGAGUAGGUGUAGUGUAGUAUGCUUGCGGUGACUCUGUGGGCAUUUUACCCACGAUUCUGCACGUCUCCGUUUGAAGAGGGAGGCUGCCCACCGUGGCUCUUCUGCGAUUUAGAUGCAGCCCACCGACUCUGCUCCCCCACCACAGUGGGCUCCAGUCUGAGUUGAGUAAGCUAAAUAAACGUUUUAACAUCUUCUAAAGACAAAUCCCUACCUAAAUGCAAAGUUUGAGAGACGUGGUUCACUUCCUUUAGCUAGUCAGUCGGCAAUUCUGCAACAAUGGCUCUAACUGACGCAGCACUUGACAGACAGCAUUACAGCGUGAAUUCCAGCUUGUGAACAGGUUCUGUGAGGAAUUCUGUUCAGGAGGUCGCAUUUCAGGCUCUCCACAUCAUGUGUGACUGACUUUUACGUUAUAAUGAUCACACACUAGGAAUGUUAUAAAGCGCCUAUAUGGGACAGUUUCUUUUGUAUAUUAUCUGACUUUAUAAACUCUCAACAACAAUGUGCUUAUAUAUUUUUUUCAGGCUAAAUCUACCCAAGACACUGGCUGUCAGACUGAUUUAGCUGCAAGAAUGCACUUGUCCAGGCUGACGUGAAACCUUCCCUGUAGCAAAGCCAGCCAGAAUGGAGUUCACAGCCGCAGUGUGUCUGGUGACCCACGGGGACCAUGAUGAAAAUUCAUCUUCCAGCAGGUCCCAGAGCAGCGGCCACACACCCUGAAAAGACCAAGGUGUGAGGUGUCUGCUGUUGAUUCCAGCUUCCACCUCAGUGACGGUGCAAGCUCAGUGAACUGUUCAAGCCUGGCUGAUCACCUGAUAACUCCUGUCAUCUGGUUAUGACAGCAUGAGGAUGUCCUCACACACCUGUAACCUAUCAGCUCAUCUGGCAGAAUAGAGAGAGAAGAGACAACACCACAUCUCCUGUUCCUGGAAAGCCUUCAGCCAUCCUUCGAUGACUGAGAACCUCCAUCAGCUCUGUCUCCUGUCUGCCUACA